Armigeres subalbatus is the source of this 325-nucleotide long non-coding RNA. RefSeq lists it as uncharacterized. The record is from RefSeq and is a predicted model, not a curated record. The transcript is spliced from 3 exons. NCBI's taxonomy places the organism in Eukaryota, Metazoa, Arthropoda, Insecta, Diptera, Culicidae.
CGAGCAGAAGCCAGUCGUAGUGAUUUUUUGGUUUCUUUUUCAAGUUCAAGUUUCCGGCUACUACAUCACCAGCGGCGAACGCUCUGCUUGCGUGAAUUUAUAGUUUUUAAAAAAAGCGUCCAAAAGGGCGCUUUUGUUACGGGCAAAGCUAUCUCGUUAGCCUCGCCAUUUUGAAUUGUUCGUUAGCGGACACGUGGAACUCUCCCGAGACGGGGCUCAGCUGGGUCCGCCAGACACUGGUAGCCAAACGGGGUCGAGAAGUAUCUCACCGGCCUUCCUGCGAUCGUUAGCGAUUGAUCGGGUAGCGUACCGGUUCCGCCGACUC